Molecule: long non-coding RNA, 1723 nt
Organism: Cucumis sativus (cucumber)
Lineage: Eukaryota; Viridiplantae; Streptophyta; Magnoliopsida; Cucurbitales; Cucurbitaceae
Exons: 3
Source: RefSeq, a predicted model, not a curated record
UGCCCAAGGGUUAUGAUAAAUGGGGAUUGAGGUUAUCCUAAUCCCCAUUUAAUCCUACUUCCUCUACGUUUUUCCCUCCAUUUUUCUUUGUACAACCCUAAAAUCACACUACCCCAUUUUCUUUAAUUUAUGUACGACUUUCUUCCCUUUUCCUCUGAUUAUCUUCCUUAUUUUUUGUUGUCUUCUUCCUUUUCUCUUCCUAAAACGAAAUGAAAUUGGAAAUCUAUUUCCUUCCCUCCCAUUUUUGAUGAUAUUCAAAUUCUCUUCGUCUUCGAUUUUUGUCCUACUCUCUCCAAUUUUAUGUCCCUGCUGUUGAAACUCAUUUUCGUUUUGCGAUGGUUGCAUUUCGAUGCUACCUCUAAAACGGUUCUCAUCCUCUCUCUGAUGCGCUUCGUUGACCGGUUGCGACAAAUGUGCGUUACCUCCGAAACAUUUCUCAUCCUCUUUCCAUCUUUCCAUAUGUUUGGUUUGCCAAUGAACCCUUGUGGCUUUCCAACCCUUAACGGUCCCAGAACAAUUUUACUAACUUUUGUUUUGAUCGAACGACCUGAUGCGACACUAAUAUGUUGAACAGAAGCCGAGUAGGGGCACUGCGAAGCAUGACAGGGGUCGUCGGUCAACACUGAAGCUCGCAGUUAAACCAUUCGUAAAUGAGAGAUUUCCAAAGCUGUACACAUACAAUAUCAAGAGGGACAAAAAUAUAGAAGAAUAAAGGAAAAAGGUAUAAAAAAAGUAUGGUUAUAUACACACAAACGAAUACAUUUUUAAAAUAAAAAACAAAGAAGCAAAUAAGAGUAUGAAAACAAUGGAUUUAUGCAAGAAGUACCACCCCAAUGCAUGCACAAAUAUUAUAUAUAUUUAUAUUGUUCUAAAAUCUCUAUAUAAGUUUCUUCUUAUAUGCAUGGAAAAAAAAAAUUAAAGGCUACAAACCGAUAUUUAAUCAUAUGAAUUAAAUCUCUCUCUUUUCUACUUUUGCUGUAUGUUGUGUAUAAUUUAAUUAAGCUGUGUUUGGAUGUAUAUAUAUAUAUAUAUAUAUAUUAUCAUGAUCUGUGUUAAUAAUGAGGAAUUUCUUAAGAAGAUUUGGAUCAAUUGACCUUUGACAAGUGAUGAUUAGAUAUGGCUUUCAUCACCUUAACCUGCGUGGACAAGCAAUGGAUGUAAUUCGCAGUUUCCUCCAACAACGUGCACACGUCCAUGGUCUCACCACCGGGGAGCAGGCGUCGGAGCUUACCCACCAUGUCAUCAGAGCUAGUCGAGGGUCUUCUUUUUCUCCUCAUUAGAGUCUUGUGUCUGGGUCGCGUAUGGAGCCUGAAGAGAAGGGCUCUAGCCCAAGCUCGCCUUCGCCCUGCAACCCGAGCCAUGGAAGAGUAUGCAGCCAUUUUUAUCCGUCGACUCUGGCGUUUUAGCUGAUCUGGAGGAGCGGAGGCAAAGGUGGCGGAUCUUUGGGAUUUGAUUCGGGAGAACAAUCUGUUAGAAAUUAAUAAGCUAGAUACAUUAUGGAUAACACAUUAAUAGAUACAUUUCUAGUUUCAAGAUACAUAUGCAUUUCUAGAUACAUGUAAUUAUUCAAGUACAUGAAUGGUAUGUAUUCAUGUACUUCAUUUAUUUUGUGUCUUUUAGGAAGUGUCUCUUGAAUACUAUAUAUAGAGAUCAUUUCCUUCAUUUGUAUACAUAGAUAAAAAAGAAUCAAAUCAAUAGAAGCAAAUUGAGUUUUAGAAAGUAA